AGCGAACGUUUGCGGCGGGCUUAACACAUGCAAGUCGAACGGGCUGUUCCUUCGGGGGCAGUCAGUGGCGCACGGGUGCGUAACACGUAGGUAAUCAACCCUCUGGUUGGGGAUAACACUUCGAAAGGAGUGCUAAUACCCGGUAUGGCGCAGCGGUCUUCGGAUCGCGGCGAGAAAGACCCGCAAGGGUUGCCAGAGGACGAGCCUGCGGCCCAUCAGCUAGUUGGCGAGGUAACGGCUCACCAAGGCGAAGACGGGUAGCUGGUCUGAGAGGAUGAUCAGCCACACUGGAACUGAGACACGGUCCAGACCUCCGUACGGGA
RNAcentral lists this ribosomal RNA (323 nucleotides) under uncultured bacterium. Its description in RNAcentral is "bacterial SSU rRNA". It matches the Rfam family "Bacterial small subunit ribosomal RNA", at positions 29 to 346 of the family's 1533-position model. The record is from RNAcentral.